Molecule: ribosomal RNA, 805 nt
Filed under: uncultured bacterium
Lineage: Bacteria
Description: bacterial SSU rRNA
Rfam family: Bacterial small subunit ribosomal RNA
Source: RNAcentral
AGUCGAGCGAGGUCCAUCUUGUCUUCGGACUUGGGAAGACCUAGCGGCGAACGGGUGAGUAACACGUGAGAAACCUGCCCCGAAGUCUGGGAUAACCCGAGGAAACUCGAGCUAAUACCGGAUGCCCUCCACUGACCGCAUGAUCGGUGGAGGAAAGAACUUCGCUUCGGGAGGGUCUCGCGGCCUAUCAGCUUGUUGGUGAGGUAACGGCUCACCAAGGCAACGACGGGUAGCUGGUCUGAGAGGACGAUCAGCCACACUGGGACCGAGACACGGCCCAGACUCCUACGGGAGGCAGCAGUGGGGAAUCUUGCGCAAUGGGCGAAAGCCUGACGCAGCAACGCCGCGUGCGGGAUGACGGCCUUCGGGUUGUAAACCGCUUUCGGCAGGGACGAAACUGACGGUACCUGCAGAAGAAGCCCCGGCCAACUACGUGCCAGCAGCCGCGGUAACACGUAGGGGGCAAGCGUUGUCCGGAUUUAUUGGGCGUAAAGAGCUCGUAGGCGGUUCAGUAAGUCAGGUGUGAAAACUCUGGGCUCAACCCAGAGACGCCACCUGAUACUGCUGUGACUUGAGUCCGGUAGGGGAGUGUGGAAUUCCCGGUGUAGCGGUGAAAUGCGCAGAUAUCGGGAGGAACACCAGCGGCGAAGGCGGCACUCUGGGCCGGUACUGACGCUGAGGAGCGAAAGCGUGGGGAGCGAACAGGAUUAGAUACCCUGGUAGUCCACGCCGUAAACGUUGGGCACUAGGUGUGGGACUUUUCAACGGGUUCCGUGCCGUAGCUAACGCAUUAAGUGCCCCGCCU